Molecule: small nucleolar RNA, 107 nt
Organism: Vicia villosa (hairy vetch)
Lineage: Eukaryota; Viridiplantae; Streptophyta; Magnoliopsida; Fabales; Fabaceae
Source: RefSeq, a predicted model, not a curated record
AUGCCUUAGUGGGGACAUUGUCUAAGCAAUUCUUUAAAUCUUUCCUAAGCAUCAAAUAAAGAGUCAUCAUCUCCUUGCCUAAAUAAGGUAAUCUCAUUUCUCAUCUU